This 349-nucleotide long non-coding RNA is filed under the name Androctonus crassicauda. Lineage: Eukaryota; Metazoa; Arthropoda; Arachnida; Scorpiones; Buthidae. The record is from RNAcentral.
CGAAUAUUUCUAUUAUAAAAAAUCAAAAAUGAGUUUGUGCUAAAUAUUAAUAGUUCAGUAAUUUUUAACUGUGGCCAUUCCUUGAAAAUUUUAUGAUGAUGGGAAUUUUUGCAAUAUUGCAUAUAUGUAUAUUAUCCCAAAAAAUAUGCCAACCUCAUUAAAAAAAGGACAGAUAGGUUUUAACAUAUUGCCAGCAGUGGCUGUUACAGAGGACAGUAAUGCCUUGUUUUUACUAAAUGGAAACAGAACAAAAAUAUAUAUUUUUAAUUAUACAGAAUGGUUCAAAACUAUAUGUCGGAAAUGUGGGGGCAGAUGGAGGGGACCUGGAUGGGCAGAUUUCGUAUGGGAA